Molecule: ribosomal RNA, 774 nt
Filed under: uncultured Neocallimastigales
Lineage: Eukaryota; Fungi; Neocallimastigomycota; Neocallimastigomycetes; Neocallimastigales
Description: partial large subunit ribosomal RNA
Rfam family: Eukaryotic large subunit ribosomal RNA
Source: RNAcentral
CGCAUCUGUGCAUGCAGCAUAUCAAUAAGCGGAGGAAAAGAAACUAACUAGGAUUCCCCUAGUAACGGCGAGUGAAGCGGGAAGAGCUCAAAUUUGAAAUCUUAAAGGGUUUCCCUUUACGAAUUGUAGUUUAAAGAAGUGUUUUCUGUUGAGGUUUUGGUAAAGUUCUUUGGAAUAGGACAUCAUAGAGGGUGAGAAUCCCGUAUUUGACCUUUACUUUCAACUUUGUGAUACACUUUCAUAGAGUCGGAUUGUUUGGGAAUGCAGUCCAAAAUGGGUGGUAAAUUUCAUCUAAAGCUAAAUAUUGGCGAGAGACCGAUAGCGAACAAGUAGCCGUGAGGGAAAGAUGAAAAGAACUUUGAAAAGAGAGUUAAACAGUACGUGAAAUUGUCAAAAGGGAAGCGUUUGACACCAGUGUUGUUUUUCUGAAAAUCAAUUAAAGAACUGUUUAUGCUAAGUUGUUUAGACUUUAUCAGCUAUCUGUUUAGUUUUAGGCUUUUCUUUAAUGCACUUUUCAGUUAACAAGUCAACAUCAAUUUCUUUUGCUGUAAAAAAGCUUGAGGAAGGUGGCUUGAGAUUCGUCUUAAGUGUUUAUAGCCUCUUGCCUAUGCAGUCGGAGAGAUUGAGGUCUGCAGCGUAGAUCCUUCGGGGCUAAAUGCAUUUGUGCUAAGUUAUAACAUUUUAUAGACAACUUGUUGACUAUGAUUUGUCUUGUAGCUUACUCGCUUAUGUUAUUUUACCUACGCUUAGGAUGUUGAACGCGCACAGAGUCUC